Molecule: ribosomal RNA, 253 nt
Filed under: uncultured bacterium
Lineage: Bacteria
Description: partial 16S ribosomal RNA
Rfam family: Bacterial small subunit ribosomal RNA
Source: RNAcentral
UACGGAGGGUGCAAGCGUUAUCCGGAUUCACUGGGUUUAAAGGGUGCGUAGGCGGGCAGGUAAGUCCGUGGUGAAAUCUCUGAGCUUAACUCAGAAACUGCCAUGGAUACUAUUUGUCUUGAAUAUUGUGGAGGUAAGCGGAAUAUGUCAUGUAGCGGUGAAAUGCUUAGAUAUGACAUAGAACACCAAUUGCGAAGGCAGCUUACUACACAAAUAUUGACGCUGAGGCACGAAAGCGUGGGGAUCAAACAGG